CUUUCGGGAGAGGCACAACUACCGACUAGGAUUCAUAGUUUAAUUGUCGGUGCCAACUUUUUUUGUUUUGUUUUUAAUUCAUCGCCUUUGAAAAGUCCUCCAGUUGCUUCGGUGGAAAAGGAGAGAGAACAGUAGGAAAGUGAAUAAACAACUUGGGGUCCUCACGCUUUACUCUUACACUGUUCAAAAAGCCCUUCUAGGCCCCAAAGAAGAAAGGUGGCCUAUGAAGCUACGCCCCCCCCCCAAUUGCUCAUCUCCCCCAAAAUGGAGACGUUACUGACAUUUUUAUUGCCGGGGGAGGAGUUAUUGUAAGAUUCAAAAUAUCUAGGCCGCAAAACGAACACUUCUCCAUUGCUUUCAACCCACUAAUUCAGCCUCGGUUUCUUUCCCCUCAACGGUACUACAAAAAUCCGCACGGGCGCUACAUAGCACCAUCUAGCGGUCCCCCGGAGUUUGGCAGAGCAGAUCUGCUAAUUCUAAUCCACAACGAGUUGUGUUUUCCCGACACAGACCACAAAGUAACCAACUACUGUCCUUUUAAUUUUGGAUAGCGUAGUUACCCAGUUCUGUGGUUAGUUUGGGGUUUAGUGUGUCGCGGACCUCAGAAAACUGGAUCACGACAGUAAGCCACCGUUAUGCAGCCACUGGUAGCCCUCUUCCCAAUAGAGCUCAAGGACUAUCCCGUGGACCGGCCGCAGUAUGUUAUGGCUAUGGAAAAACAAACAACUUAAGACGGACCAUCCAGCUGCACGACUGCCACAUACAAAAUGCAACGCACGCAGUGUAUGGCAGCAGAGCCGUGCGACCCAUAACAGACGUAAUCUGCAGCGGAUUGGUUCUGAAAAUUUAAGAUUUACACGCUAAAUGCUUGACUGACGGGGCGUCUUACCGCAUAUGACUUUUUAAAUUUGUUUUAAAUCGAUCUUGGAGUUUGGCCUUUUAUAAGCCGCUCUAGUAGGCGGGGCUGAAAUGCGACGAGCUUAUUGGAGAGGGAGGCGGGGCUUCUAGAAUCUUGUGUAUCAACCCGCCGAGCGCGGGAAGGGAGGAUAGAAAGAAAUGAAUGGGGAUCAGGGAUGGGUGAGACUUGAAUGCCUGCAGUUGGCUUGCGCGGAAGUCAGGCGUUCUGUACUCUUCUUAAACGUACUGCGGUGGAAAUGCAAAUCGUUCCGUUUACCUCCUCGAGAUGCUCUCGAACGUCUCCAUAACACUUCUUAGGUCACAGGCAUGAAGAUGCUACAAGCCGGCAGCAAUUGUGAAGAAGAUCCUCCUGCUCUUCUGAAGGAGCCCCAAAUCUUCAUCCAAGAUUAGCAUAGCUGAUGUAUCACAGAUCAGGUGCAGAGGAAGGCAGUGGGGUGAAGCAGGAGGGAGUGUUUGAGAGCAAGCAAGCUCCAUCCUCAGCUGGUGAUGCAAGGGAAUGGCAACGAUGGCAGCUAAUGACAGUGGCCAGUAGCACUUGCAGAGGCAUCAAUGGGGAAGGCAUGUAAAAAAAAAAAAAUCACAGCCACCAUCUUGACUUUUUUGACACACACUCGGAUACUUUUCUGCACGUUGUCCAAACAUAGCUAGUGGUUUGGCUUUUGAAUCCUUUGGAGGCAGAAACAUUAGAACAACUGAAGGAAAUGAACAUGAAGAUUACUUCAUUUGAAAUGCUGUGCUCUAGGGAAUGCCCUGUAUGGAAUAGCCUGACACACACACACAAACACACAGGCUCUUGUUCUUCACUCAAGCCUUCCUAAAAUUGUUUGAUAUGUGUGUCAUGCACAUAUUCUUCCCUGCCCUCUACUGGGCGGAAUAGUGAGACAAGCUCCAAGGCGGAAGCAUUUUGCAAAACCGGGCAAACAUGUCCUGACUGAGAGGGUGUCACAUUCAGUUCAGGUUCUCAUUAGGGAAAGCUCUUAUUCUUUCGUUAAACUGGUAUCCUGAGUUUCUUCCAGGAAUUCUGGACAGUUUGCAUAACACUUCCUUUUUCCUCACAACAAUCCUGUGAGGUAGGUUGGGCUGAGAGAAAGUUUGCCAAUAAGUUUCCAUGACGGAGGUGGACUUAGUCUAAGACCAAGGUCAGCAUUUUAGCCACACUCCCAUUCAUUUCUGGGGUCUGCUGAAGGAUGAAUCAGACCUUCCCAAACUUAGAUCCCUGAGAACAGCUGCUGGCUUCAGUGAGCUGGGAAUUCAACACAACCAAAGUCUCCUGAUUUGAACCAGAAGAGUCCCCCAGUCCUGCGAGGAUUGGCAGCUGAACAACAGAAAAGCCCUGGACUGAGAAAAAGGCCUCCUUGAAAAAAAUUCAGUAAUUAGUAAGUUCUAAUGUUUAUAAAUAUGUUGAUAUAAUCAUCAGUUGGGUAGAAUGGGAGGGAGUUUGAAACUAUGUAGUUUCCCAAUAUUGUCUUUAUUGAUCUUUCUCUUUUUUUAAUCUCUUUCUCUUUCCUUUUCCCUUUUUUCUUUUUCUUUCUCCUUUAUGUGGUUAUGUGCAUCUUUCUUUGGAGCAACAAGUAAUUAUAGUUUUAGAAAGACUUCUAGUUAUUUUUAAGAUGAUGUAAUGAAUUUAGUUCUGUGCAUUUGAUUAGUUAAUCAAUUAAUGAAAUCAUCAAUUUUAAAUUUUAUUAUCAUUACGAUAUUGUAUU
Long non-coding RNA from Python bivittatus (Burmese python), 2621 nucleotides. RefSeq lists it as uncharacterized. NCBI's taxonomy places the organism in Eukaryota, Metazoa, Chordata, Lepidosauria, Squamata, Pythonidae. The record is from RefSeq and is a predicted model, not a curated record.